AAACAGACSAAUUAASGCAUAACGAACGAGACUCCGGCAUGCUAACUAGUUAUGCGGCCCCGAGCGGUCGGUGUCCAACUUCUUAGAGGGACAAGUGGCGUUCAGCCACACGAGAUUGAGCAACAGGUCUGUG
This 133-nucleotide ribosomal RNA is filed under the name uncultured Saccharina sp. RNAcentral's name for it is "partial small subunit ribosomal RNA". The record is from RNAcentral. Lineage: Eukaryota; Phaeophyceae; Laminariales; Laminariaceae.